RNAcentral lists this ribosomal RNA (510 nucleotides) under uncultured bacterium. Its description in RNAcentral is "partial 16S ribosomal RNA". It matches the Rfam family "Bacterial small subunit ribosomal RNA", at positions 28 to 507 of the family's 1533-position model. The record is from RNAcentral.
GACGAACGCUGGCGGCGUGCUUAACACAUGCAAGUCGAACGAAGAGCGAUGGAAGCUUGCUUCUAUCAAUCUUAGUGGCGAACGGGUGAGUAACGCGUAAUCAACCUGCCCUUCAGAGGGGGACAACAGUUGGAAACGACUGCUAAUGCCGCAUACGAUCUGACCUCGGCAUCGAGGAUAGAUGAAAGGUGGCCUCUAUUUAUAAGCUAUCACUGAAGGAGGGGAUUGCGUCUGAUUAGCUAGUUGGAGGGGUAACGGCCCACCAAGGCGAUGAUCAGUAGCCGGUCUGAGAGGAUGAACGGCCACAUUGGGACUGAGACACGGCCCAGACUCCUACGGGAGGCAGCAGUGGGGAAUCUUCCGCAAUGGACGAAAGUCUGACGGAGCAACGCCGCGUGAGGGAUGACGGCCUUCGGGUUGUAAAGCUCGGUUAAUCGGGACGAAAGGCCUUCUUGCGAAUAGUUAGAAGGAUUGACGGUACCGGAAUAGAAAGCCACGGCUAACUACGUG